GCCGGGCGUGGUGGCGUGCGUCUGUAGUCCCAGCCACUUGGGAGGCUGAGAUAGGAGAAUUACUUGAACCCAGGAGGUGGUUGGAGGUUGCAGUGAACCAAGAUCACGCCACUGCACUCCAGCCUGGGUGACAGAGUGAGACUCUGUCUCAA
This 152-nucleotide non-coding RNA is filed under the name Nomascus leucogenys (northern white-cheeked gibbon). Lineage: Eukaryota; Metazoa; Chordata; Mammalia; Primates; Hylobatidae. The record is from Rfam by way of RNAcentral.